GCAACGCGGUGUUUGUAACUUGAGGAUG
RNAcentral lists this non-coding RNA (28 nucleotides) under Cricetulus griseus (Chinese hamster). The record is from RNAcentral. Lineage: Eukaryota; Metazoa; Chordata; Mammalia; Rodentia; Cricetidae.